UGGGGAAUAUUGCACAAUGGGGGGAAACCCGUGAUGCAGCGACGCCGCGUGAAGGAAGAAGUAUCUCGGUAUAUAAACUUCUAUCAGCAGGGAAGAUAGUGACGGUACCUGACUAAGAAGCCCCGGCUAACUACGUGCC
Molecule: ribosomal RNA, 139 nt
Filed under: uncultured bacterium
Lineage: Bacteria
Description: partial 16S ribosomal RNA
Rfam family: Bacterial small subunit ribosomal RNA
Source: RNAcentral